AACGAACGCUGGCGGCAUGCCUAACACAUGCAAGUCGAACGAUGCCUUCGGGCAUAGUGGCGCACGUGUGCGUAACGCGUGGGAAUCUGCCUUUCGGUUCGGAAUAACUCAGGGAAACUUGAGCUAAUACCGGAUAACGUCGCAAGACCACAGAUUUAUCACCGAAAGAUGAGCCCGCGUAGGAUUAGCUAGUUGGUGAGGUAAAGGCUCACCAAGGCGACGAUCCUUAGCUGGUCUGAGAGGAUGAUCAGCCACACUGGGACUGAGACACGGCCCAGACUCCUACGGGAGGCAGCAGUGGGGAAUAUUGGACAAUGGGCGAAAGCCUGAUGCAGCGAUGCCGCGUGAGUGAUGAAGGCCUUAGGGUUGUAAAGCUCUUUUACCCGGGAAGAUAAUGACGGUACCGGGAGAAUAAGCCCCGGCUAACUACGUG
This 433-nucleotide ribosomal RNA is filed under the name uncultured bacterium. RNAcentral's name for it is "partial 16S ribosomal RNA". It matches the Rfam family "Bacterial small subunit ribosomal RNA", at positions 29 to 507 of the family's 1533-position model. The record is from RNAcentral.